This 590-nucleotide ribosomal RNA is filed under the name Cordyceps farinosa. RNAcentral's name for it is "eukaryotic LSU rRNA". The stretch from base 226 to 379 matches the Rfam family "5.8S ribosomal RNA". Lineage: Eukaryota; Fungi; Ascomycota; Sordariomycetes; Hypocreales; Cordycipitaceae. The record is from RNAcentral.
GUCGUAACAAGGUCUCCGUUGGUGAACCAGCGGAGGGAUCAUUACCGAGUUUUCAACUCCCAAACCCUUUUGUGAACAUACCUAUCGUUGCUUCGGCGGACUCGCCCCAGCGUCCGGCCGGCCCCGCGCCGGCCGCGGCCUGGAUCCAGGCGGCCGCCGGAGACCCCCAAACUCUGUAUUCUCAGUAUCUUCUGAAUCCGCCGCAAGGCAAAACAAAUGAAUCAAAACUUUCAACAACGGAUCUCUUGGUUCUGGCAUCGAUGAAGAACGCAGCGAAAUGCGAUAAGUAAUGUGAAUUGCAGAAUUCAGUGAAUCAUCGAAUCUUUGAACGCACAUUGCGCCCGCCAGCAUUCUGGCGGGCAUGCCUGUUCGAGCGUCAUUUCAACCCUCGACUUCCCUUUGGGGAAAUCGGCGUUGGGGACCGGCCGUAUACCGCCGGCCCCGAAAUGAAGUGGCGGCCCGUCCGCGGCGACCUCUGCGUAGUAAUCCAACUCGCACCGGAACCCCGACGUGGCCACGCCGUAAAACCCCCGACUUCUGAACGUUGACCUCGGAUCAGGUAGGAAUACCCGCUGAACUUAAGCAUAUCA